RNAcentral lists this ribosomal RNA (427 nucleotides) under uncultured Chloroflexota bacterium. Its description in RNAcentral is "bacterial SSU rRNA". It matches the Rfam family "Bacterial small subunit ribosomal RNA", at positions 354 to 796 of the family's 1533-position model. Lineage: Bacteria; Bacillati; Chloroflexota. The record is from RNAcentral.
GUGAGGAAUAUUGGUCAAUGGGCGAAAGCCUGAACCAGCAACGCCGCGUGAGGGAUGAAGGCCUUCGGGUCGUAAACCUCUUUUCUGGGAGAAGAGACAAGGACGGUAUCCCAGGAAUAAGUCUCGGCUAACUACGUGCCAGCAGCCGCGGUAAAACGUAGGAGGCAAGCGUUAUCCGGAUUUACUGGGCGUAAAGCGCACGCAGGCGGCUGCGUAAGUCGGACGUGAAAGCUCCUGGCUCAACUGGGAGAGGUCGUUCGAAACUGCGCGGCUUGAGGUUGGAAGAGGAGAGCGGAAUUCCCGGUGUAGUGGUGGAAUGCGUAGAUAUCGGGAGGAACACCAGUGGCGAAAGCGGCUCUCUGGUCCACACCUGACGCUCAGGUGCGAAAGCGUGGGUAGCGAACGGGAUUAGAAACCCUGGUAGUCC